GAAAUUUGCACAAGGACCUUUGCUGACUUCAGUCACACCCUUGUGCACCCGCAGCCUCUGCCAUUCUGCUCUGCCAGCACUGGGGCAGCUCCAGCACUGGCCUGCAGGGAUGAACAGAAAUCUAACAAGGGAGAUCAGACUGAACAUCUCAGACCUUCACCGCAUACUCCAUGUUGGUUGUUUUGUGAAUGCACCGUUUGCACACCGAGUAGGAGCCCACACCAAUCGCCUCCUUCACCACGUAGCCGUCGCUGAACUGGAUGUUCUUGCCAUGCAGCUGCUGCAACAAGAGAGCAGGCAGCAAAUGAGCUGGGAGGGUUCAGGGAACGGUUUGUGCAAUGUGAUGAGUUAACUGCAACGCCAAGUGAAGUGACAGACUGCUGUCUACUACAUCCCACAGCCUCUCCUCCCUGCUGGGGAGAGAGAGGAGAGGAGAACAUGACAAAUAUAGGUCAGUAGGCUAACACUAUCUGCAUCCAGCACGCUGCAUUCCUGCAGCACCUCUCAUUCAAACAGCCUGAGUCCACCUGGCAAGGAGGCAAACAGUGUGCCCUGCUGACCUCUGCACGUGACAGUCCGUAGAAACAAAAGAACAUCAGGAUGCAAGAAUUCAAACCAGAAUAUCUUUCCUUUAGCUCCUGCAGACCCACUCUGGAUUUACUGCAGUCUCAGAGCAGCUGUCCUUUUGUCCCCAUGUCUCACCUGCACCACAGAAUGCAGAGGGGGCUGUGCAGGUUUCACCUUACUGUCUUCCAUCAGUCCAGUGGCCACAAAGCUGAAGCCGCGGAAGAGCUGAUGUGCACCUGCACUGGGAGGGAUGCCUGGGGAAUCUGCAACAGGAGUUGAAGGAAAACUUGAAAAGGAAUAGCAGUGGAAGCAGAAGCCUGCCCUUCGUGGCUCUGGCUCAGACAAGAGCAAUAUCAUGCAGCACCAAGCUACCAGUAACACCCUGCAUAUGGCUGGCACUCCUCCCUGCAGCAGCUAGGAGUGGACAAACCUUGCCCUGACGGCACAGGCAAGCCAGGAUUAAACUGUAUUAUUUCACACAGGCUUCAGCUGAAUUCAUAUAUUCAUACCAACCUUUUGGUGUACGCGAUGUAAAUUCUGUAUCAAAAUAAAAGGUGUCAUCAGGCUGGCCUACAGCAGGCUUGAAGGGUGG
RNAcentral lists this long non-coding RNA (1159 nucleotides) under Gallus gallus (chicken). RNAcentral's name for it is "long non-coding RNA NONGGAT005086". The record is from RNAcentral. Lineage: Eukaryota; Metazoa; Chordata; Aves; Galliformes; Phasianidae.